UGUUAGUGAAUAAGGGCUAGGGUGCGAAACCCUAGCUGCCACCUCAUUCCAUUCCUCUCUCCUCUGUCAUUUCAUUGCAAAAAAUGGCGAUAUGGCAGAGGAAUUCAGCCCCCACCAGUCUUUGGACGGCUAGAACGGGUAGAUUUAAUGUUACUUCAUCCUUUUCCACCAUCUCUCACGAAACACACCCUUGCCAAGAUACGAUCCCACUCUCCUCUCUCCUUUUUCCUUUCUUUCCCGUUGAAUCGGCCUACUAAGCAUUAAUUGAUGCUGUACUUACCCAUUUGAACCUUUGAUUCCCAUUAGUUCCUUAAGAACCAACCUGAUCGAAGAAGGCGAGUCAUAUUGAGUCGUUCAUUAUUUGCUUUGUCUUAAUCUGGUUCGUUGAUUUCAAAUGCAAGCUUAAUUUUCUGAAAAAUUUACAAGUCCCUUAUUGAUUAUUUUUAGGAUUUCACUCAAACCCCCAUUUCAUUGGAAUAAAAGAGGAAAAAAAGGGGGCUUGACACAAAGACCCACGCACAAAACCCAGAUUUUGAGCACUUAUACUCGAAAUUAGGGUUCUCAGUUGAAAGUUUUAUACUCAACUGAAAGGUUGAGUUCUUCGUUUUUAAAUUUGUUUUUCUUUUAUUAGUGUGGCUGAGCUUUGAGUUGAGGAAGCACAAAAACGCUCCUAAAUCCAGUCUUGACCAAGGCUGCACCUCAAAAAGUUCAAGGAGGUGAUAGCAACGUUGGAUAUUGAAUCGAGGAACAAGAAAAUUGCGAAAUUGGAGCAAUUAAGAGUAGAAAUUCCUCCGAGAAAAUUAAGGCUAAAGGGGGCGACAAAGCGAACGGAUUUGCGAAUAGUCGUUAAACAGGUACAAAUAGUCUAUUUGGUGACUCUUCAGCAUAGGAAUUCUAUUCAGCUGUCUUGGAGAGCUCCGUUGUUCCAGAGUUUAGACUUUUGGUACAUAUCUUAUGAUAUAUAUGUAUGUUUAUCCAGGGGUACGACGGGGCCCUGUCCUAUCAUAUUUCGCUAUUCGUACUCUUAGAGGUCUGUAGACAUAUGUGUGGGUUGUGUAUAAGUUAUGUUCAGCUGUGUCUAUACGAUGUACUAUGAUAUGAUGUCCGUCUAUAGUGGUAGCCUUGUCGGCUUGCAUAUGACAUGAUAUUGAUGAGUAGUGGCAGCCUUGUCGGCUUGCGCAUCGUUUUAUAAUUUGAUCAGGUGUGACUCCUCAGGAGACAGUUUAUCUGAAUAUACAUAUAUGACGACGUUAUGAACCGUUGGAGUUCUUUUGCAAGUUUCCAUAUUAUUCAUAGAUUCAGUUUGAUUAUAUGUAACAGGUCGUAUACGGGUGUCCAGUUCGGGCACUAAUCAUGGCCCACGGGGU
Molecule: long non-coding RNA, 1367 nt
Organism: Lycium barbarum (goji berry)
Lineage: Eukaryota; Viridiplantae; Streptophyta; Magnoliopsida; Solanales; Solanaceae
Exons: 4
Source: RefSeq, a predicted model, not a curated record